GAUGAAGAACGUAGCGAGAUGCGAUAAGUAAUGUGAAUUGCAGAAUUCCGUGAAUCAUCGAAUCUUUGAACGCACAUUGCGCCCCCUGGUAUUCCGGGGGGCAUGCCUGUCCGAGCGUCAUUGCAACCUUCAAGCGCGGCUUGUGUGUUGGGUCUCGUCCCCCGUGGACGGGCCCGAAAGGCAGUGGCGGCGUCCCGACAUGGUGCCCGAGCGUAUGGGAAUCCUCUUCCGCUCGAAUCGGCCCAUGCGGCGCUGGUCGUAACCAAAUUUUUUACCGGUUGACCUCGGAUCAGGUAGGGAUACCCGCUGAACUUAAGCAUAUCAAUAAGCGGAGGA
RNAcentral lists this unclassified non-coding RNA (336 nucleotides) under soil metagenome. Its description in RNAcentral is "partial contains 5.8S ribosomal RNA, internal transcribed spacer 2, and large subunit ribosomal RNA". The stretch from base 1 to 120 matches the Rfam family "5.8S ribosomal RNA", at positions 35 to 154 of the family's 154-position model. The record is from RNAcentral.